UCUUCUUCCUCAAUGAUGCUGAACAUGUCGCUAGACUUGAUUCAUCAACCUCAUUAGAACUACUUAUUUUUUCAUCUACAGCUUCCUCUUCUUCCUCAGUGGCUUCAUCCUCUUUAUCAUUAUCAGACCAACUAAUUAUUUCAUCUUCUUCCUCAGUGAAGCUCAACAUUUCACUAGUUUCAUCAACCUCAGCUUCCUCUUCUUGCUCAAUG
This 212-nucleotide unclassified non-coding RNA is filed under the name Hevea brasiliensis (rubber tree). The record is from RNAcentral. Lineage: Eukaryota; Viridiplantae; Streptophyta; Magnoliopsida; Malpighiales; Euphorbiaceae.